Molecule: long non-coding RNA, 969 nt
Filed under: Dasypus novemcinctus (nine-banded armadillo)
Lineage: Eukaryota; Metazoa; Chordata; Mammalia; Cingulata; Dasypodidae
Description: lncRNA (ENSDNOG00000050201.1)
Source: RNAcentral
AGAAAUGGGGUGAAUACCCACAUCUGGCGAGCAAAGGCUUCGGGGCGAGUGCUCGGGGUGGGUACCUGCAGGAGCCGUCGGGUGCACAGCAGCCGUGGCCCAGGUCGCAGUGGGAGCUGCAGUCAUCGGCUGUAAGAGUGAUGCGAGAGAGUAAGGCCCGAGUCAGUGUUGGACUCCCUAGGAUGUGGGACUUGUGAGAGGAUGUGGGGUCCCAGUAGUGAGGUGGGCGCACUGAUCCAUCACGUUCGCAAGGGGCUAGCUGGGUCUCGCCCCGCUAGUCCGAGCGGCUGCAGUGCCGUCUCUGGCCGGCAGAGGUCAACGUGCAAGCGAGGGACGGCCGGACAGUGUCUCUGCGGGAGCCGGGGGGCGCUCACCUCGGGCAGGCUGACCGGGCGCCCCCAGGAUGCACAACAGGCACACGAGAUGUAGGCAGCGGCAGCCGCUGAGCAUGGUCAGCGCCGGCCCCAGGAGGCACCGCCGGAUGCACUGCCGGACGUGCGGACACCUCCGGUCCUCGCGGCGGGGCGCUCCCCUGGGCUCGCGCCGUCCGCCGCCUGGCUUCGCCACCUAACCUCUCCGAACCUCGCUGGGGUCCAUGAAGGAAGGAAAUUAGGGGAGUUGAAACGCGAGGAGACCGUCAAGUGCCGGCCAAAGGCGCGCGGUGCGGUUACGCUACCGCCUCCCGCGGCCGCGCUGCUCACCGCGCCCCUCACCCGCGCCGCAACUCAGCCCUGCCCGCUCCUUCCCGGCACGCUUCUCUAUAUAUGCCAUGCACACUCAGGGCACAGCUGCCUCUCCCUGGCCGCCUGCUGUCACCAGCCCACGCCCCCUCCGCUCGUAAAGCCCUCACCACCGGCCUCAUCUGUCUGCUGCCCUCCUCCUCCACGCCCUCCGCUUCUUUUUCUCUAUGGCACCCACGGCCUUCCCGGAUGGACUCCUGUUAUCCACAUGUACAGUCUGCUCCGUCCU